CUUCCUCAUUCAUCUUGUGUGGGUUUUUACUCGUUUUUUUUCUCUCCAUCCUUGGCAGCCGGUGUUUGGAAGUGGACAUCGGAAGGAGCGCGGCUGGUUGGCUUGCAGGAGCAGAACCUCGCCAAGACUCGACAGGAUCACAGAAGACGAUGCCAGAGCAGCUCAGAUACACACUAAUCAUCUCUGAACAAAUCCCGGAUCAGUGUGUGUGUGUGUGUGUGUGUGUGUGUGUGUGUGUGUGUGUGUGUCUGGGGAUGGGGGUCAGGGGUUCCAGACACUUCGCAUCAAAUCACACCAUUCCCACAAAUCCAUCCUGAGGAGCAACACAAUUCAUCAUCCUAGAAACCCAUGAAGAACCUUCCCAUAAACAUGCUCUGCUCAGAAAAACAACUAAAUGACCUGCACAUGAACCAGAAUUGUAUCAGAAUAUUCACUGAACCUUUCAUGGAGAUGGAAGUGCACCACAUGGAAGCCUUUCUGGCAGAGAAGCUCUUACUGGACACUAAGGGAAGUGGGAGCUCCGUGGAAAAGAUGCUGGACUUGGUGGGGCCCUUGAGCAAGGCCCUUGAAUCUUCAACUGAUGUAUAAAUGAGAUCAUUGUUGGUCAUUCUGGACAAGAGCAUCUGCCUCAUGCUGUAAAUGCUUUACAAAGAACUACAGAGCUUGGGGAGCUUUGUAUGUGGAAUGUGGGAACCUUUCUUUGAAGGUUUGUAGGAAGCUAAAAACCUUCAAUUAUCAAAUGGACCUUGAAGGAAUGCUAAGAGUUCUGAGGGUUCUAAGCGUUCCAUGAAGAACUUUCAGGUGAACCGCAAAGAAUCUUCAACGGUUUUAUGGAAUAGGAACAAACAGAAUAAACGAAGUGGUGCUAAAAAUAAGGAUGGAACUAAUAGACCUUGAAUGGAGAUGAACUUAAAAUGAGCAUGACCAUGUUCACCUGACAACAAGAGCUCAAAAAUAUAUUAGUCCUCCUCAUCUCAUCACAACUGCAGCUUAGACCCAUUAGUACCAAAUAACACUGCACUUACCAGGUAAAUGUCUCCAAGGAGUUUAAGUGGCGUCCUAUAAAUUGGAAAGAGACUCCACGGGACAUCCAGCUCAUGGACAGCGUCCCAAAUGUGAGCAGGUGGUCGAUAGACGAAUGCAUAGCUCAACGAUGGAGUUCGCCAAAGAGCCGUCUGGGUGAUGGAUAACAGUAGUGAUAAGUUCAGCGGACCUUCAUCAGCACAUCUGUCAAUGUAAGCUGAGCUCUACAGAGCAGUGGCACAGGGGAGCUCAACUCCCUUUUGUGAAGGUUCUUUUCUUUCUGAGGUGUCUGAAUGAUGAUAGCCUUCUACACAAGAUGGCUGCCACAGAAGUAUUUUGUUUGGUUUAGUCUGUGUUAAUAGCAUAUCUGUUAAGUAAAAAGUUUGUGGACACCUCAGCAUAAAAUCAGUAUGUGCUUCUUGAGCCCACAUUUCCUGUGUUAAUGACCUUCACACUUCUGACAAGAUGUUCAACUAGAUUUUGUGGAGAUUUGUGGACACUCAUUCAGUGAUUAGGAUGUGUGAGUUGUUUAAUAGGGUUUAAAGCUGUAAUGCAGGAGAUCUUCCACUCCAAUUCAUUGAAAGCAUAUCUUCAUGGAGCUGGCUUUGUGCAUUGUCAUGCUGGAACACGUUUGGGUUUCCUAGUUUAAGUUAAUGGAAAUGUCAUGCUGUUACAUCCAAAGACGUCCUACACAACUGGUACCUCUGAAUGUAUGCAAACAGUUUGUAAAGUUAUGAUUGACCAGACAGAGUCUGGAACCCAGACUACACCUUGCUACUUAACAACCAUUAAACUAGUGCACCUGUUAGCACACACCUAUAGCACAGCUAACACACAUUCUCUCAGCUUUCCUGCAGCUCGUUUCCACGCUGGUUAUUUUGACCAUCACAAACCAGGGCAUCACUCCCAGUGUCUGGUACAGUCCGGAAAAGUGCAAUUCCCACAAGGCCUGUAAUUACUCCCGGGUCAGAGAGGGCAACUGGAUCGAAUAUGAGAGCAAGAGAGAGAGAGAGCGAGAGCGAGAGAGAGAGAGAGAGAGAGAGCAAAAAGGGGGGGGGACUAAGAGGAAAGACACUACAAGGACAGAAAGAGAGAACAAGUAAAACUAAGAGGAAAGAGGGAGAACACUGAGAGGAAUAAGAGAAAAAAACUGAGAGGAAAGGAGAUAAAACUGGAA
This is a long non-coding RNA of Silurus meridionalis, 2200 nucleotides long. RefSeq lists it as uncharacterized. The transcript has 3 exons. The record is from RefSeq and is a predicted model, not a curated record. Lineage: Eukaryota; Metazoa; Chordata; Actinopteri; Siluriformes; Siluridae.